Molecule: non-coding RNA, 135 nt
Organism: Triticum aestivum (bread wheat)
Lineage: Eukaryota; Viridiplantae; Streptophyta; Magnoliopsida; Poales; Poaceae
Source: Rfam
UAUGUACUCCCCCCGUCCGGAAAUACUUGUCAUCAAAAUGGAUAAAAGGAGAUGUAUCUAGUUGUAUUUUAGUUCUAGAUACAUCCCUUUUUAUCCAUUUUGAUGACAAGUUUUUUCGGACAGAGGGCGUAUAUA